UCGUGCUUUGCGCCGCCCGUAGUCAUUAACCCCUACAAUCCUGCGGCAUUCUCUGGAUGGCCAGCCACGUCAUCCAGUUUUACUGUUACAGUAAAAACAAAAACCAUCGAUCUCUCUUCCAUCGUCUCUUCUUUCUUCGACUCUUCUCCUCCUCUCUCUUUGCUUCCUUCCUUCCGACUCCCGAUGCCAGGGCUGACGGCGACGGCGACAGCUCCGAGCGCAACCGGCGCGUUGCGGCCGCCCUCCUCCUCCUCCUCCUCCACCUCCACCUCGUCUGCCUUAUCCUCCUCCUCGUCCUCCUUCUCCUCCAUCCUCUUCCUCUCUCUAUCUCCCCUGCCCUCCCGAUGCGGCGGCAGGAGCCGCUCGUGUGGCCGGCCCGAGGCGGCACGCCAGCGCCUCCGCUGCUCCCUCCCCCCGCCUCGUGUCCUCUCCCUUUCUCUCUCCCCACGGCCGUGGCUGCAUCUGCGCCGGGGAAACCCUAGGUGCCAUGGUGGGCUCGGAUCUAGCCACGGUGAUACCCGGCAUGCGCUGCCCUGCCAUGUCUGGCUCCGAUGGAUAAGGCGCCAGUGCCUGGCACAGACGGGCCAUGCUGGCUGCAACCACUGUCCUUGUCCUCCUCCAACCUCGCAUCUCAGCAUGCCCAAAAGGAUAAAUGGAUGGUGGCGGCGCCGCUGUCCUACACCAAUCCUAGCAGGGCAAUAAUCUAUAGCUACAUGAUUUUUGUUGCUCUCUGUAGCUCUGUGGCAAUUGAUUCAAAUGCAUCGUGUUGACUAUGCCACCUGGAUUUGGACUGUGAUGCUUAGAAAAGGAGAAUAACAUUAUCUGAAAGAGCAGCUAGGUUUUCUCAGCUUUUCAAAAGUCUGCGGCUUUUCAGGUUAGUUAAAGAGUUCAUAUCCUUUUUUUGGAAAUGUUGUUUAUGGUAGCCACUAAUGCCAAUUUCUAUCAUUCCUGAAAGACAAUGUUCUAUAAUGAAUGACAAUGGCUGACAUGCUGAGCCUGUAGGUGUCAAGCAUUAUUGUGCAUGAAGAUUGGCUUCUCUUUCUGCUUUACUUCACCGCUACUAUAGUUUUCUAGAAUAAUGUUUUGGUAUUCAAAGUUUCAUUAUUUCCAUUUUAAGCAUACUAUAGUUGCCAUCAUCAAAUUUGUGUGCCUCACUGUCAUUGCAAGUAACUUAGUGUCAGUGCCUUAUGCUCUGUCCCAGCCAUCAUCUCACCUUCACAGAUACUUAGCUGCUCAUCAACUUAUAUGAAAAUUACCAUUGCCAUAUGCUCUGGGGAUGUUACUGUCCUGUAGAACCUUGGGACCACCUCACUUAGAGUUGUAGCUUCACACAUGCUAUGAAUACCAAAGUUAAAGAUCAAAUUUUUAUGUGCCCUAUAAAUAGCUUGCAAUUGUUAUCAAGUAGCAGCAACAUAGGACAUAGUCUAGCGUGGAAUGUAAUUUGUGGUGGAUUCCUGAUGGAACCUUUCCUAAAAGGUGGGUGGAUAGUGUUCUUUCCCAUCUUUAGAAAAGGAAAAUGGUUCAUUUAAUGUGUACCUUGUUUAUGAUUCUAAACACUAAAAGAUAUAUGAAUCGCUGCUAGAUAAUUCAAGAUUUUCAUCAGGAAUUAGGAAAUGAUAAUCUUUUAGUUCCAAUUGCUAUGUUACAGCUUCCUAUAUUUCACAUGUUUGCUACAUACGGCUUAAGUGUGAUACAAAUAAACCAUGUCGUGAGGGCUGUAUAAAUGGGUCUCCCAUGUCCUUUGUAUACUUUACAUUAUUGUUCAAAUGUGCAGCCUCAUCAUUUAGUCUUGAUGAAGCACCCCUAAAAGAUCUUGCCAUUGGGUAAGUGACACUACUGUGUCAUAAUUAGUCAACCAAACAUACCAAAAUUUGUAUUUUAAAAUUGUUUACUUACUAAUUUUAGAUUUGUCCAAUCUGAACCACAUUACCAGCAGCAGCAGCGAGCCUCGCUCAUAAGCAGCCGCUCAGAGUUAGCGACGAGGCUGCCAAUGAAACAGUGGCAAAUAAGAAUGUGAAAACUACCACAGCUACACAGGAUGACAAAGACAGGCCUCAUGCAGCGCCGCUAUAGCGCAAACUCAAUAGGUUCAAUUGAAUACUGUGGCGCGCCCCUUCAACUAGUACUUGUAAUAGGGUGCGCGCCAUCGCGCGCGUAGAUUGGCACAAAAGAUUUCUAAUAUGAAGAAUAUAUAGACUAUAAUAUAAAUAAAUAAUGUAGGUAGAGUGUCUAACUACGUCAGGAUAGGCCCCUUGAGUUCAUGCCUCGAGAUUUCGUGAGAACAUCUAUCGUUCGUGUCACUAUUAUAGGGGUGAUGGUGGUUACAUAACAGACAACAUUCAAGUUAACGUUAAUUUAACAGAAAUGGUAGAAGACAACAUGGAAGAAAUAUUUUGAUGCCGAAUUUGUAAAGUUGAAUCUUUUUGAUGUUCUAAACUUUGGCUCUUUCAAUGGUAGAACUCUAAUUUUAUUACUUCAA
Long non-coding RNA from Sorghum bicolor (sorghum), 2479 nucleotides. RefSeq lists it as uncharacterized. The transcript is spliced from 5 exons. The record is from RefSeq and is a predicted model, not a curated record. NCBI's taxonomy places the organism in Eukaryota, Viridiplantae, Streptophyta, Magnoliopsida, Poales, Poaceae.